This 1406-nucleotide long non-coding RNA is filed under the name Pan troglodytes (chimpanzee). Its description in RNAcentral is "long non-coding RNA NONPTRT003813". The record is from RNAcentral. Lineage: Eukaryota; Metazoa; Chordata; Mammalia; Primates; Hominidae.
CCAAAGUCAGGGAAUCAGGGAAGCCUUCCCCAAAGAGGUGGCAUUUGAACUGGGGCCUGAGUGGUGAAGCAGCCAGCCAUGGGAAGGGUUUGGGGAACAGGAUAUGCAAAGGCCCUGUGGUGGAAACAAGCCAGCUGUGGUUGAGGAACAACAGCAAGGCAGCCAGUGUGGCUGGAGUGGAGUGAGCAGGGUGGGCCAGGGGUGAGGGAGAACAGGCCAGAGAGAGGGAUUAGCACCAGGUCUUGUAGGGCCUUUUAUGGCAUAGAAGGAGCUCUGAAGCAAUGAAGUGCCUUGCCGUGUGUCACAUGCCAGCCGAGACAGUCUGCCUAACUCAGGAGCCAAAGCUCGCUGCUGGGCUUGAGGCCCCUGUAAGAGGACAAUGUAACCCAGGCUGGUAUGGGCACAUUCUGCAUUUCCACUUAAACUCAGAUGGCAAGCCCAUCAAACCCUGGUGCCAUGGCUGCCCUGGUAAUUCCUGGCUGAUCAGUGCAACCAGGGAGCUGGCCCAUGACCUGGGUGGCAGCUGAGUAGCCAGGACUCAUGCGGCCAAGAGUCAGCCUUCUUCCUGUGACUCAUCCAGGUGCACCCUGCGAUAUCUGAAGGUCAGGCUUUCAGCCGCUGUGGCUUCCACUUCCAACUGGCUCCACGUCCCCAGGGAGGGAUAACAUAGAGCUUUGCCAACACAUUCUAUUGCGUGUUUUAAUGUUCCUGUGAAUGCGCCCUUGAGAUUUCUCUCUCUCCCAUCCACACUGAGCUUAGAAGCAAAGUUAAAAGACUCAUCAGAUUCUGAGCUGCUGCGGGAUAUUUUGCAGAAGGUAAGAAUCCCAGAGUCCCUGGGACUCAUGACUCUGCCUCCUGAAUCUCUCCGGAAGACCUGAGAGAAGAACCACAGAUGUGCUUGUACCCUUUAAAAACAGCCCUCUUCAAAGAACAAAACCAUUGAGUCAGCACUGCAGACUGUGAAGCAUCCUGUGUGUGUGAAGCACCCACCGUCAGUCACGUGUGCCCGGUGCUUUCUCUCAGAACUCAUCAAGAAGCAUGAGGCUGUCCACACGGAGCCUUUGGAUGAGCUGUACAAGGCGCUGGCAGAGACUCUGAUGGCCAAGGAGUCCACCCAGGGCCACCGGAGCUAUUUGCUGGUAUGAGAAGGGCACCCUCCUCCCCCUCACAACCCUGAUACCCUUCCUGCACAGAAAAAGUGAAAAUGUGGGUGUGGGUUCAAAUCCUGACUCACCCAUUCUGCAGUCUUAGGCAUGAGGUCCGUUAACCUUCUUUAGCCUCAGUUUCCCUGUGUGUAAAUCAAGCACUUCAACAACAACAGCAUGUCUCGUGGAGUUGUUGGGCAUUUGUCCAAUAGGUGACACACACUACCUGCUUCACAAGGACCUGGUGCCCAAUCCUCAAAG